GAUGAAGAACGUAGCGAAAUGCGAUAAGUAAUGCGAAUUGCAGAAUUUCCGUGAGUCAUCGAGUCUUUGAACGCACAUUGCGCCCCCUGGCAUUCCGGGGGGCAUGCCUGUCCGAGCGUCAUUGCUGCCCUUCAAGCCCGGCUUGUGUGUUGGGUCGUCGUCCCCCCCGGGGGACGGGCCCGAAAGGCAGCGGCGGCACCGCGUCCGGUCCUCGAGCGUAUGGGGCUUUGUCACCCGCUCGAUUAGGGCCGGCCGGGCGCCAGCCGGCGUCUCCAACCUUCUAUUUUACCAGGUUGACCUCGGAUCAGGUAGGGAUACCCGCUGAACUUAAGCAUAUCAAUAAGCGGAGGA
This 351-nucleotide unclassified non-coding RNA is filed under the name soil metagenome. RNAcentral describes it as "partial contains 5.8S ribosomal RNA, internal transcribed spacer 2, and large subunit ribosomal RNA". The stretch from base 1 to 121 matches the Rfam family "5.8S ribosomal RNA", at positions 35 to 154 of the family's 154-position model. The record is from RNAcentral.